AGCAGCCGCGGUAAUUCCAGCUCCAAUAGCGUAUAUUAAAGUUGUUGCAGUUAAAAAGCUCGUAGUUGAAUUUCGGGGUCAGCAAGUUGGUCGUGCCACUGGUAUGCACUGGCUUUGCUGAUUCCUCCUUCUUGUAGAACCGUAAUGCCAUUAAGUUGGUGUUGCGGGGAAACAGGACUGUUACUUUGAAAAAAUUAGAGUGUUUAAAGCAGGCUAACGCUUGAAUACAUUAGCAUGGAA
RNAcentral lists this ribosomal RNA (240 nucleotides) under uncultured Glomus. RNAcentral describes it as "partial 18S ribosomal RNA". It matches the Rfam family "Eukaryotic small subunit ribosomal RNA", at positions 569 to 814 of the family's 1831-position model. The record is from RNAcentral. Lineage: Eukaryota; Fungi; Glomeromycota; Glomeromycetes; Glomerales; Glomeraceae.